AUAGGAAUAACCUGGGAAUCUUGUUAAACUGAAGGUUCUGAUUGAAGAAAUUUGGGGUAGGACCUAAGAUUCUGCAUUUGUAACAGGAUAUCUGGUGAUGUCCAU
RNAcentral lists this microRNA precursor (105 nucleotides) under Marmota monax (woodchuck). Lineage: Eukaryota; Metazoa; Chordata; Mammalia; Rodentia; Sciuridae. The record is from RNAcentral.